RNAcentral lists this ribosomal RNA (1067 nucleotides) under uncultured bacterium. RNAcentral's name for it is "bacterial SSU rRNA". It matches the Rfam family "Bacterial small subunit ribosomal RNA", at positions 15 to 1201 of the family's 1533-position model. The record is from RNAcentral.
GAUCCUGGCUCAGAUUGAACGCUAGCGGGAUGCCUUACACAUGCAAGUCGAACGGCAGCACGGACUUCGGUCUGGUGGCGAGUGGCGAACGGGUGAGUAAUGUAUCGGAACGUGCCUAGUAGCGGGGGAUAACUACGCGAAAGCGUGGCUAAUACCGCAUACGCCCUACGGGGGAAAGCAGGGGAUCGCAAGACCUUGCACUAUUAGAGCGGCCGAUAUCGGAUUAGCUAGUUGGUGGGGUAAUGGCUCACCAAGGCGACGAUCCGUAGCUGGUUUGAGAGGACGACCAGCCACACUGGGACUGAGACACGGCCCAGACUCCUACGGGAGGCAGCAGUGGGGAAUUUUGGACAAUGGGGGAAACCCUGAUCCAGCCAUCCCGCGUGUGCGAUGAAGGCCUUCGGGUUGUAAAGCACUUUUGGCAGGAAAGAAACGUCAUGGGUUAAUACCCUGUGAAACUGACGGUACCUGCAGAAUAAGCACCGGCUAACUACGUGCCAGCAGCCGCGGUAAUACGUAGGGUGCAAGCGUUAAUCGGAAUUACUGGGCGUAAAGCGUGCGCAGGCGGUUCGGAAAGAAAGAUGUGAAAUCCCAGAGCUUAACUUUGGAACUGCAUUUUUAACUACCGAGCUAGAGUGUGUCAGAGGGAGGUGGAAUUCCGCGUGUAGCAGUGAAAUGCGUAGAUAUGCGGAGGACACCGAUGGCGAAGGCAGCCUCCUGGGAUAACACUGACGCUCAUGCACGAAAGCGUGGGGAGCAAACAGGAUUAGAUACCCUGUAGUCCACGCCCUAAACGAUGUCAACUAGCUGUUGGGGCUUCGGUCUUAGUAGCGCAGCUAACGCGUGAAGUUGACCGCCUGCGAGUACGUUCGCAGAAUAAACUCAAGGAUGACAGGACCCGCCCAGCGGUGGAUGAUGUGAUAAUCGAUGCACGCGAGAUCAUACUACUGGACUGCUGGAUGCCGAAAAAUUGCUGGCUCCUAGAAACUGGAAACAGGGCGUCAUGCUGCCCCUCUUGGUCGGAGGUGAGUUAGUCCAUCAUGCCACCGGCCUAUGUCCAAAGAGUC